GACGAAAGUCUGACGGAGCAACGCCGCGUGAGUGAUGAAGGUUUUCGGAUCGUAAAGCUCUGUUGUUAGGGAAGAACAAGUGCAAGAGUAACUGCUUGCACCUUGACGGUACCUAACCAGAAAGCCACGGCUAACUACGUGCCAGCAGCCGCGGUAAUACGUAGGUGGCAAGCGUUGUCCGGAAUUAUUGGGCGUAAAGGGCUCGCAGGCGGUUUCUUAAGUCUGAUGUGAAAGCCCCCGGCUCAACCGGGGAGGGUCAUUGGAAACUGGGAAACUUGAGUGCAGAAGAGGAGAGUGGAAUUCCACGUGUAGCGGUGAAAUGCGUAGAGAUGUGGAGGAACACCAGUGGCGAAGGCGACUCUCUGGUCUGUAACUGACGCUGAGGAGCGAAAGCGUGGGGAGCGAACAGGAUUAGAUACCCUGGUAGUCCACGCCGUAAACGAUGAGUGCUAAGUGUUAGGGGGUUUCCGCCCCUUAGUGCUGCAGCUAACGCAUUAAGC
Molecule: ribosomal RNA, 500 nt
Filed under: Bacillus sp. CR68
Lineage: Bacteria; Bacillati; Bacillota; Bacilli; Caryophanales; Bacillaceae
Description: bacterial SSU rRNA
Rfam family: Bacterial small subunit ribosomal RNA
Source: RNAcentral